Magnolia sinica is the source of this 1489-nucleotide RNA transcript. RefSeq lists it as uncharacterized. NCBI's taxonomy places the organism in Eukaryota, Viridiplantae, Streptophyta, Magnoliopsida, Magnoliales, Magnoliaceae. The transcript is spliced from 6 exons. The record is from RefSeq and is a predicted model, not a curated record.
UUCAUAAAAUACCCAAAUCUCAAAUCCAUAAAAAAGAUUAAGAAAAAGAAAAAAAAAGGAGAAAAAUAUCCCUUUUUUUUCACUCCUCGUAUGGAAAUUGCAGUGAGAAGAAGCUCUUGAGUGUUUGAUUGAUCUGAGAGAAUGGCUGGAAUAGCUCUUUUAUUGGAUUUACUGAAGAAAAAUCCCGGCUUCGCAAGCCAAUCCCUGCACUCGCACGGGCUAUUCUCGGCGACAGUAGCUGCUUCCGCUGCCGCUGCGUCUGUCGCAGCAGGAUGGCCUUUCGCUUCAAGAUUCUUGUUUGGUGAUGGCGGAAUCUCAACAGCUUUUUGUGAUGCUGCCCCAGCCCCAGCAUGGACUGAAGAUUAUGUUACUAAUCUACGCAGUGCUUCUGAAAAUAUCUUUCAACACAAACCCCUCAAAUACAGUACCAAGGAAUAUCCUAUAGAGCUAAAACCUCUAUUCUCAGCUUUCGGACCAAAGUCUCUUGCACUGACAUCACUGAGGUCCUUCUUAAUGUUUUAUCUGCUGCUCCUGGAACCUCGCACACGCAUGGAAGAUGAUGAUGACAACGAUUUCCUACAAGAUGAAUCAGAAGAGAGGCCACCUGUCAAUUUGGUUGUUCCCUUCAAAAAGUCAAUGAAGCAAAUCAGGAGACAACUGUUGUAACCACUAGACAGGUGCUGGAAAGACUUGUUGUCCAUUACAUUUCCCAUCGGAUGACAUGGAAGCUUCUUAAAGAUGUUCCUAAAUCAGCUAAGCGAAAGGCUGAAAGGGGGAUGGCGACUUAAUUAUUCUUCUUUAAUGUCAGCAAGACGACUUUCAGAGGACAUCUGUUAGGAGUUGCUGCAUCUUGGAUCGUCCAAGUUGGAAUAGAGAUAUAUCGUUGUUUUAAGAAUGAGGAUGAGAACGAGGAAGAGGUUGAUAAAGCUGAAAAACUCGAGCUUCUUGGGAGAAAGGUCUCUGGUGCAACUAUUAGGUGCGGUGCAUCAUUGGUUUUUGCAUCCAUUGGGGCCAGAAUCGCUGCUAUCCUCAUCCGUCCUUCAACUGGACAGCGGAUUGAUUGUGCUAUUGGAGACUUAGUGGGGCCUAUCAUAGUUGGAGUUUGUUUCGAGAAGGUUCUUCAUGUUUUUGUUUUCAACAAACCAGAUUGGAAUGCGCUCUUGACAUAUCACAAAAGCUCCAGAGCCUCUGAUCUAAUAAUUCUGUGAUACUGUUUUUUUUAAAUUUUCUUCUAUUUUCUUUUCUUUUUCUCUCGGAAUUUGUUUAGAAAACAGCUGCUCCCAAUUAAAAAGUUAAAAGGGCUAUCAGAAUCUAACUCGAACCGGUUCUUGGAGAAGAGAGAAGUUUCAAAUGUCUGAAUGAGCUCUGGCAGAACUCGAUGGUAAGUUUCUUCAUUUCUUCCUUCUGUUCUUUACUCAUCCGAGCGCAAGCGUCUUCUAUAGAACCGUAUGAUUGCUCUUCUGUAAGAAUGAAACAAUGAAAACAACAA